AGAAAUAACCAUCGGUAGUCUUGACAUCAACAUGAGCUUCAGUCAUUGUUGAACAUUUUUCAACCAUGGAACAUAUUUUGUCACAGGAUCAACCACCAUGAUGAAUGACACAGUAACUAUCUGGACCAGGAAGUUCAUGACCAAUGGACCACUCCAGAGGAAACAAAUGGUCACCAAUGUCCUUCACCCCGGAAAGGCAACAAAAUGUACAAGACCACAAUGGAUGUCAUCUUCAUAUUAAUAGUUGGACUUAGAACCCGUUUUGGUGGUGGUUAAACAAUGGUCUUUGGCAUGCUAUCUGGUUCUUUGAAUUAUGCAAAGAAAAAUGAACUCAAACAUAGACUUGCAAGACACGGCUGGCAUGAGAAGAAGAUGACCUCAAGAAAACAGCAAAAGGAAUGCAAGGGCAGAAUGAAGUCAAGAGACUGCAAAGGCCAAUGUCAGUGCUGGCAAAAAGCAAAAGGAGUAAAGAUUUUGCAAUGACUUUAUUUGCAGUGACUGUACAAAUUUUUCAUGAGAUGAUCACUCAACUGUAAGGACUUCUACAUAUAUAUAA
RNAcentral lists this long non-coding RNA (556 nucleotides) under Homo sapiens (human). RNAcentral describes it as "HSALNT0068951". The record is from RNAcentral. Lineage: Eukaryota; Metazoa; Chordata; Mammalia; Primates; Hominidae.